CGGUCUAAGUUCCUUGGAACAGGACGUCAUAGAGGGUGAGAAUCCCGUAUGUGACUGGUCGCCACGCCCGUGUGAAGCUCCUUCGACGAGUCGAGUUGUUUGGGAAUGCAGCUCAAAAUGGGUGGUAAAUUUCAUCUAAAGCUAAAUAUUGGCCAGAGACCGAUAGCGCACAAGUAGAGUGAUCGAAAGAUGAAAAGCACUUUGGAAAGAGAGUCAAACAGUACGUGAAAUUGUUGAAAGGGAAGCGCUUGCAACCAGACUUGCCCGCGGGUGAUCAGCCGGUAUUCUUACCGGUGCACUCGCCCGUGGUCAGGCCAGCAUCGGUUCGGGCGGCUGGAUAAAGUCCACCGGAAUGUAUCUCCUCUCGGGGAGUGUUAUAGCCGGAGGUGCCAUGCAGCCCUCCCGGACCGAGGACCGCGCUUCGGCUAGGAUGCUGGCGUAAUGGUUGUAAGCGACCCGUCUUGAAACACGGACCAAGGAGUCUAACAUCUAUGCGAGUGUUUGGGUGUCAAACCCAUGCGCGUAAUGAAAGUGAACGGAGGUGGGAACCCUGAAGGGUGCACCAUCGACCGAUCCUGAAGUCUUCGGAUGGAUUUGAGUAAGAGCAUAGCUGUUGGGACCCGAAAGAUGGUGAACUAUGCCUGAAUAGGGUGAAGCCAGAGGAAACUCUGGUGGAGGCUCGCAGCGGUUCUGACGUGCAAAUCGAUCGUCAAAUUUGGGUAU
Molecule: ribosomal RNA, 723 nt
Filed under: Acarospora janae
Lineage: Eukaryota; Fungi; Ascomycota; Lecanoromycetes; Acarosporales; Acarosporaceae
Description: partial large subunit ribosomal RNA
Rfam family: Eukaryotic large subunit ribosomal RNA
Source: RNAcentral